UGCGCAGGCGGAGCGAUAAGUCAGUGGUGAAAUCCUGCAGCUUAACUGCAGAGCUGCCAUUGAUACUGUCGUUCUUGAGUAUAGUUGAAGUGGGCGGAAUGUGUCAUGUAGCGGUGAAAUGCUUAGAUAUGACACAGAACACCGAUCGCGAAGGCAGCUCGCUAAACUAUAACUGACGCUCAUGCACGAAAGCGUGGGGAUCAAACAGGAUUAGAUACCCUGGUAGUCCACGCCGUAAACGAUGAUUACUCGAUGUUGGCGAUAUACAGUCAGCGUCUAAGCGAAAGCAUUAAGUAAUCCACCUGGGGAGUACGUUCGCAAGGAUGAA
This 328-nucleotide ribosomal RNA is filed under the name uncultured bacterium. Its description in RNAcentral is "bacterial SSU rRNA". It matches the Rfam family "Bacterial small subunit ribosomal RNA", at positions 568 to 898 of the family's 1533-position model. The record is from RNAcentral.